Molecule: ribosomal RNA, 398 nt
Filed under: uncultured Streptococcus sp.
Lineage: Bacteria; Bacillati; Bacillota; Bacilli; Lactobacillales; Streptococcaceae
Description: bacterial SSU rRNA
Rfam family: Bacterial small subunit ribosomal RNA
Source: RNAcentral
UUGACAUCCCGAUGCUAUUUCUAGAGAUGAAAGUUACUUCGGUACAUCGGUGACAGGUGGUGCAUGGUUGUCGUCAGCUCGUGUCGUGAGAUGUUGGUUAAGUCCCGCAACGAGCGCAACCCCUAUUGUUAGUUGCCAUCAUUCAGUUGGGCACUCUAGCGAGACUGCCGGUAAUAAACCGGAGGAAGGUGGGGAUGACGUCAAAUCAUCAUGCCCCUUAUGACCUGGGCUACACACGUGCUACAAUGGUUGGUACAACGAGUUGCGAGUCGGUGACGGCGAGCUAAUCUCUUAAAGCCGAUCUCAGUUCGGAUUGUAGGCUGCAACUCGCCUACAUGAAGUCGGAAUCGCUAGUAAUCGCGGAUCAGCACGCCGCGGUGAAUACGUUCCCGGGCCUU